GCGGGUGUAGCUCAAUGGUAGAGCUCCAGCUUCCCAAGCUGGCUACGGGGGUUCGAUUCCCCUCACCCGCU
Molecule: transfer RNA, 71 nt
Filed under: Acidisphaera rubrifaciens HS-AP3
Lineage: Bacteria; Pseudomonadati; Pseudomonadota; Alphaproteobacteria; Acetobacterales; Acetobacteraceae
Rfam family: tRNA
About the family: Transfer RNA (tRNA) molecules are approximately 80 nucleotides in length. Their secondary structure includes four short double-helical elements and three loops (D, anti-codon, and T loops).
Source: Rfam by way of RNAcentral